GAUAACUGGCUUGUGGCCGCCAAGCGUUCAUAGCGACGUGGCUUUUUGAUCCUUCGAUGUCGGCUCUUCCUAUCAUUGUGAAGCAAAAUUCACAAAGCGUAGUAUUAUAGGCUCUUUUUACAAAGUAUUGGUUAUGAUGGACGGGUGU
Molecule: ribosomal RNA, 148 nt
Filed under: Belgica antarctica
Lineage: Eukaryota; Metazoa; Arthropoda; Insecta; Diptera; Chironomidae
Description: eukaryotic large subunit ribosomal RNA
Rfam family: Eukaryotic large subunit ribosomal RNA
Source: RNAcentral